GACGAACGCUGGCGACGCGCUUAACACAUGCAAGUCGAACGGAAAGGCCUGCUUUCCCUUGUGGAUUGCGGGUACUCGAGUGGCGAACGGGUGAGUAACACGUGAGUGAUCUGCCCCCAACUUGGGUAUAAGCCUGGGAAACUGGGUCUAAUUCCCGAUAGGACUGCAGGGUGGUGCCUGUGGUGGAAAACGAUUUUCUAGUGGUUGGGGAUGAGCUCGCGGCCUAUCAGCUUGUUGGUGGGGUAAUGGCCUACCAAGGCGGCGACGGGUAGCCGGCCUGGGAGGGGGGACGGCGACAUUGGGACUGGGACACGGCCCAGACGGCAACGGGAGGCAGCAGUGGGGAAUAAUGCACAAUGGGCGGAAGCCUGAAGCAGCGAGGCCGCGUGGGGGAUGACGGGCUUGGGGUGGUAAGCUGCUUGCGACCGCGAGGAAGCCACCUGGUUGGAAGGGUGGUGACGGUAGUGGUAGAAGAAGCACCGGCUAACUACGUG
This 494-nucleotide ribosomal RNA is filed under the name uncultured bacterium. RNAcentral's name for it is "partial 16S ribosomal RNA". It matches the Rfam family "Bacterial small subunit ribosomal RNA", at positions 28 to 507 of the family's 1533-position model. The record is from RNAcentral.